This 429-nucleotide ribosomal RNA is filed under the name Bacteroidota bacterium. RNAcentral describes it as "Bacteroidetes bacterium partial 16S ribosomal RNA". It matches the Rfam family "Bacterial small subunit ribosomal RNA", at positions 355 to 776 of the family's 1533-position model. Lineage: Bacteria; Pseudomonadati; Bacteroidota. The record is from RNAcentral.
UAGGGAAUCUUCGGCAAUGGGGGGAACCCUGACCGAGCAACGCCGCGUGAGUGAAGAAGGUUUUCGGAUCGUAAAGUUCUGUUGUUAAGGAAGAACGAGUGUGAGAAUGGAAAGUUCAUGCUGUGACGGUACUUAACCAGAAAGGGACGGCUAACUACGUGCCAGCAGCCGCGGUAAUACGUAGGUCACGAGCGUUGUCCGGAUUUAUUGGGCGUAAAGCGAGCGCAGGCGGUUAGAAAAGUCUGAAGUGAAAGGCAGUGGCUCAACCAUUGUAGGCUUUGGAAACUGUUUAACUUGAGUGCAGAAGGGGAGAGUGGAAUUCCAUGGGUAGCGGUGAAAUGCGUAGAUAUAUGUAGGAACACCGGUGGCGAAAGCGGCUCUCUGGUCUGUAACUGACGCUGAGGCUCGAAAGCGUGGGGAGCGAACAGG